RNAcentral lists this unclassified non-coding RNA (333 nucleotides) under uncultured Glomerales. RNAcentral's name for it is "sequence contains 18S rRNA gene". The record is from RNAcentral. RNAcentral also lists the same sequence under 1 other name. Lineage: Eukaryota; Fungi; Glomeromycota; Glomeromycetes; Glomerales; Glomeraceae.
CCCAACUAUCCCUAUUAAUCAUUACGUCGAUCCUAGAAACCAACAAAAUAGAAUCAAACGUCCUAUUUCAUUAUUCCAUGCUAAUGUAUUCAAGCGCGAGCCUGCUUUAAACACUCUAAUUUUUUCAAAGUAACGGUCCUGAUUCCCCAUGACACCAAAUUAAUGACAUCAUGGUUCUUCAGAAGGGAGAAAUCAAAAUUGCCAGUACGUACCGAGGCACGACCAACAAAUUGAUCUCGAAAUUCAACUACGAGCUUUUUAACUGCAACAACUUUAAUAUACGCUAUUGGAGCUGGAAUUACCGCGGCUGCUGGCACCAGACUUGCCCUCCAA